This 548-nucleotide ribosomal RNA is filed under the name uncultured Septoglomus. RNAcentral's name for it is "SSU rRNA". It matches the Rfam family "Eukaryotic small subunit ribosomal RNA", at positions 548 to 1098 of the family's 1831-position model. The record is from RNAcentral. Lineage: Eukaryota; Fungi; Glomeromycota; Glomeromycetes; Glomerales; Glomeraceae.
UUGGAGGGCAAGUCUGGUGCCAGCAGCCGCGGUAAUUCCAGCUCCAAUAGCGUAUAUUAAAGUUGUUGCAGUUAAAAAGCUCGUAGUUGAAUUUCGGGACCAAUUUGUUGGUCGUGCCUCGGUACGUACUGGUAUUAUUGGUUUCUCCCUUCUGAAGAACCUUGAUGUCAUUAAUUUGGUGUCUUGGGGAAUCAGGACUGUUACUUUGAAAAAAUUAGAGUGUUUAAAGCAGGCAUACGCUUGAAUACAUUAGCAUGGAAUAAUGAAAUAGGACGUCUGAUUCUAUUUUGUUGGUUUCUAGGAUCGACGUAAUGAUUAAUAGGGAUAGUUGGGGGCAUUAGUAUUCAAUUGUCAGAGGUGAAAUUCUUGGAUUUAUUGAAGACUAACUACUGCGAAAGCAUUUGCCAAGGAUGUUUUCAUUAAUCAAGAACGAAAGUUAGGGGAUCGAAGACGAUCAGAUACCGUCGUAGUCUUAACCAUAAACUAUGCCGACUAGGGAUCGGAUGAUGUUAAUUUUUUAAUGACUCAUUCGGCGCCUUACGGGAAAC